ACAAUAUCGGACCGUCGGUCUACCGAGUUAUUACACCCGCUUGUUGGAAGAUUUUCCCUUCGUCGU
RNAcentral lists this microRNA precursor (66 nucleotides) under Bombyx mori (domestic silkworm). Its description in RNAcentral is "mir-2774 microRNA precursor family". It matches the Rfam family "mir-2774 microRNA precursor family". Lineage: Eukaryota; Metazoa; Arthropoda; Insecta; Lepidoptera; Bombycidae. The record is from Rfam by way of RNAcentral.